This is a long non-coding RNA of Jaculus jaculus (lesser Egyptian jerboa), 1236 nucleotides long. RefSeq lists it as uncharacterized. Lineage: Eukaryota; Metazoa; Chordata; Mammalia; Rodentia; Dipodidae. The record is from RefSeq and is a predicted model, not a curated record. The transcript is spliced from 2 exons.
AGCUUCGGAUGAAGGCUCAGCAUCCCUUGGUCUCAGGUCUCCGGGAAGGGGUGGAGACAGGAAGGAGGGGAAACGUAGCCAUUUCUCUGCACUGCUCGACCUCUGCUCACAGUUCCCAUUUCCCGGGAAUCCAGGGGUCUCCACGGCCUAGGACUGCACGAUGCUGGACAUUUUCAUCCUGAUGUUCUUUGCCAUCAUAGGCCUGGUGGUUCUGUCCUACAUUAUCUAUCUGCUGUAGCAGCCUGCCUGCGGCCCCGGCCGGCCGGGAGCCUGCGGAACAGCGCUGAGUGCCAGAAUGGAGCUGGCCCGCCAAGCAUCCUGCUCGCUGACGCACCGGUGGAGUUUUGCUUCUGGUCAUUAUUUCGGCUCCAGCCGACAAGAGGUCGCUUACCAACCAACAGCAGCAGCAACGUUGCUGCCCCACAGACUUCUUGCAGAGCAAUGGGAUGUGGUCAGCCCCUGGCAAGCCGGGCUUUGUGAGGCACAGGCAGAAGCCCUCUCUGGAACAUCAGGACCUCGAGGACUGGCUGGCAGAUGCUGCUUGUGUUGGAGAGGUUGACAGAGCUUGUUGGGCAUACAGAAGUGAAAUGUAGACUCACUCAUGUUGCCAUGGAGAGCUGCUCAAAAAUUCAUGUGGGUAGCCUUUCCUUAGGUCCAAAUACAAUUGCACAUGAUGCUGGAGUGUUUUUUUUUUUUUUGUCAUCUAGCCUGUCUCACAAGCAAGGCAUUCCUUUGUUAAUUCAAGAGCAAGUUCAACAUCACCGUCUUUACAGAUUGCACAAUCUGAGUUGUGUGGUUUCCUUUGCCUGGAUCUCCAGCCCCAGGACACUUCUUAAAAUUUUUCAUUUCUUCCCUUCUACAUCCCACUUGAACUCUACCUUCUCAUUUAAAGAGUGAAAUGUUUAUAUAGUUCUCGUUCUUUGAGCCUUACUAUAAAUUAUUGAAAAUGGCCAUAAUAAUUUAAGGGAAAAAAUAUUACACCAAAGUGAGUGGAAUUUAAAAAAUUGUCAAAUGUUUCUUUUCUUGAAAACAAAAUGUCAACAUCAACAUAUUUCCCUGUCCACUUAGGGUUAAAUAAGCUAUAUAUUUUGGAAUUCAGAGUAGAUUUGGGCCUGCAAAUUGGGGAGGGGAUUUUUAUUCCUUUGAAUAAUCCAUCAUCAUUGUUCUACACUAAAUUUCCCUUUAUUUCUAGUUUAAAAAUAAAGAUAAAGAUUAAAUUAAUAGUUUUUGUAAUAA